Physeter macrocephalus (sperm whale) is the source of this 3936-nucleotide long non-coding RNA. RefSeq lists it as uncharacterized. The record is from RefSeq and is a predicted model, not a curated record. NCBI's taxonomy places the organism in Eukaryota, Metazoa, Chordata, Mammalia, Artiodactyla, Physeteridae. The transcript has 4 exons.
GUUGUGGGGCAUGCUCCCAGGCUGCUGGUGCUUCUCCAGGGGCCCCAGAUCAGAUUCCAGUAGAUGGAGGAAAGAAACAGUCUGAUCCCAAGCUGGCAGGAUAGGUCUGUCCAGGCUGUUGUCUGCCCAUCACAGCUGCCUGUGAGGCCUAUAGGUUAAUAAUAGCAACUCUGAUGCCAGUGGAUUAAGACAGCACUGUAGGAGGUGUUUAUUUUUACACGCUGGCGUCAGUAUCAAGUUCUACUGGUUACUGCCCAAAUCUAGGGCAGCUUCCUGCUACAGGAGUGGCCUCAGGCUUCUCCAGGAUGCUAAGUUGGAUUCUGGAGGAAACAAGCCUUGUUGAAACAGUUUAGUAUCAACAGGGACAGGGAAAGGGAAAAAGGAACAAACAGAGCUGUCAUAUGUCCAGCUGUCUGGUCCCAAAUCUUCGGAACCAGGUGGACCUCAAUUGAGAGCUGUUGUUCACGGCAUUUUCCUGAGUCAGGUAGGAAUGCUGAAGUGCAAAGAAAGCAGCCAAGCAGCCAAGCACACAAUAACAGUGACUCCAUCAUCUUCCUGCCUAAGGCUGACUCAUAACCAUCAUCAGAGACACAAAAUAUCAACAUCUCGAGGAGCAGGAAGAGCACAGGCUCCGGACGCGCAGGCUCAGCUGCCAUGGCUCACGGGCCUAGCCGCUCCACGGCAUAUGGGAUCUUCCCGGACCAGGGCACGAACCCGUGUCCCCUGCAUCAGCAGGCAGACUCUCAACCACUGUGCCACCAGGGAAGCCCCUACACAACACUGUAAAUGAACUACACUUCAAUAAAAAAUAAGCGGCAAAAAAUUUAAAUGCUAUAAAUUCUUUGGAUAAAGUAUUUUAGAAAUAUAACAACUGUCAUUCAUGCAUAUAGGUAGAGAGCCCUGGCCUUAUGUAUUUUCCUUCUUCUAGGUCACAGUGGCCAUGUUGGGAAGUGAACCUGGUCUGUGCUUGGAGGUACAGUUCCUUUCUUUCAGGCCUAUAAUCCCCACCACUGGUUUGAGGAACGGUUGAAACAGUUAGGAAUCUGUUUAUCUAGAUACAAGUUGUAAAGUGGCUCUGUCCCAGAAAACAUCCUGAGGGCGGGACUUCACUGGUGGCGCACUGGUUAAGAAUCCACCUGCCAAUGCAGGGGACACGGGUUCGAGCCCUGGUCCGGAAGAUCCCACAUGUCGCGGAGCAAUGAAGCCUGUGCGCCACAACUACCGAGCCUGCGCUCUAGAGCCCACGAGCCACAACUACUGAGCCUGCGCGCCUAGAGCCCCUGCUCUGCAAGAAGAGAAGCCACCGCAAUGAGAAGCCCGUGCACUGCAACGAAGAGUAGCCCCCGCUCGCCGCAACUAGAGAAAGCCUGCAUCCAGCAACGAAGACCCAACACAGCCGAAAAUAAAUAAAUAAAUAAAUAAAUUUAUUACCAAAAAAAAAAAAAAUCCCUACCUGAAUUGCUCACCUGUCAGCAGAAGGCAGUGAAAGCAAGUCCUCUACAUAAACUCAUGGGCUGAUGAGAUUCUCCUUAAAGGGUCUAAUUAUUUCCAGACAUGUAUCCCAGGAGACCCUAUCCAAGUCCCAUAGCUUCUGCCGUAGAAACGCCUCUCUAGUCUAUCCUCUCUUCUAAUUCCUACAAUCAGUGCUCUAAUUCUAGGCUCUCCUUCAACACCUCUUUCGAGGACUUUAAUUCAGUCAGUCUUUGGGCAGAUUCCUAUGGCCAGGAAGUGGUAAACAAAAUAGAUACUAUCCCUGCCCUCAUGAAGUUUACAAUCUAGUGGAGGAAGGCAGACAAACAAUCACAUAAAUAAAAAUAUAAUUACAAAGUGUGAUAAAUGCCAUGAAAAUAAAGUACAGAGUAUUAAGAGGAUCUGAUUAAGACUGACUAAGGGCUUGAUUAAGAGGUCAGGGAAGGCCUCUCUGGGAAACUGAUGUUUAAGUUCAGCCUUGAAAGGUGAGUUGAAGGGAAUUUAAACAGGUGAAAAGUUGGGGACAACAUUACAGGCAGAGGAAAUAACAUGUGUGAAAGGGCCUGAGACAGGAAAGUGGUUGGUGUCUUAGAAAAACUGAAAGAAAACGAGCGUCGUUGAAAGUGUCCAUUUUAUCUGGCAACCGUGAGUUCGCUGGUGAUCUUGACAUAAACAAUUUCAAGGGUGUGGUUAGUGGAAAUGAAGCUAGACAGCAGAGGGAGCAAAAGUGAAUGGAAAAUUGAGCAGACAGUCUGGGUGGUCAAAAAAGGUUGGCUGUUAAAUGAGACAGUCAAUACCCAGAGGGUGAUGUGGUGUCAGGGGAUUUUUAAAUUAAUAUCUAUUUUAUCAAAUUAAUAUAUGCACAUGGUUACAAAGAUAAAUUGUAGUAUAAAGUUUAUGAUGGAAAAUAGCAGUCCCCAGCUCCACCCCUUUCUACCUCUGUGUCCUUCUCCAGAGGCCACUACUUUCAAAUCUUUUAGCUGUCUCAUCUGGCAUUUAUGUUCAUGUUUAUAAAUCACACAUGUAUUUAAUUAUUUCUUGAUUUUAAACAUUCUCUUGACUUCCUACAUCCACCACCUUCCUCGCAAUUUCUUUUUUUUUUUUUAAUUUUAAUAUUUAUUUAUUUGGCUACACUGGGUCUUAGAUGCAGCAUGCAGGAUCUUUUUAAGUUGAUCUUUGUUGCAGCACGCGGGAUCUAGUUCCCUGACCAGAGAUCGGACCUGGGCCCCCAGCAUUGGGAACACAGAGUCUUAACCACUGGACCACCAGGGAAGUCCCCACAAUUUCUGAUUUAAUUAAUAUCCAGUGUUUGCUAUGACUUGGUAGUCUGUGGACCCUUAUUAUUACUGUAUAAUUUAUAAUUUAAUUUUACUACUAGACUUUCUUUUGUUUAGUUUUCUAUAUAUUUGUCCCUAAAUCUUCACAGAUUCUCUAGCGGAAUAGUAAAAAGCGCUCUCAAUCUAAAUCUAACUUUCCAUAUGGUCAAACACAGUUCCUUUCCCCCCGCCCUGGAACAUAAUCCUUCUGGAACUUUCUUUAAUGAUACAUUCUGAAUUGACUCUCCUCUCUGGCUUACAACACAACUUUAUGCUGGACCUCUCUCUCUCAUCAUGCUAGGAAUUUCCUUUGCCUCUCUUCUGUUAGUUGCCCUGUGUUCUAGAUCCCAUGAUUUCUUCUUUCUUGUUGGGAAGUCCCUGUAUGUAAACUUUUAAAAAAAGGACAGAUUAAAAAUUUCUCUAUAUCCCUAGUUUUCUAGAUUUUUAUGAUGAGGUACCCUGGGGUAGGCUAUUUUUAUUUGUUGUGCUGGGCACUCAGUGGGCCCUUUCAAUUUGGAGACUUGUGUCUAGGAAAUACACUUGUACUCUUUCUUUUAUUUUUUUAUAACUUUGCCUCCACUGAUGUUGAAGAUUUAGAAAGAGAGGAAUUAAAUGAUGAAGCAACAUCCCUGAGAAGCAGUAGUGGCUCAAUAAUUACUAUAUAGGGCUUCCGUGGUGGCGCAGUGGUUAAGAAUCCGCCUGCCGAUGCGGGUUCGAGCCCUGGUCCGUGAAGAUCCCACAUGCCGCGGAGGAACUAAGCCUGUGCGCCACAUCUACUGAGCCUGUGCUCUAAGAGCCCAUGAGUCACAACUACUGAGCCCACGCGCCGCAUCUACUGAAGCCCGUGCGCACUGGAGCCCGUGCUCCACAACAAGAGAAGCCACCGCGAUGAGAAGCCCGCGCACCGCAACGAAGAGUAGCCCCCGCUCGCCCCAACUAGAGAAAGCCCGCGCGCAGCAACGAAGACCCAACGCAGCCAAAAAUAAAUUACUUGAUUAAUUAAUUAAUUUAAAAAGUUUACAUACAAAUAUCAGAAAUCAGAAUGGCAUUCGGCUUAACAAUGAUGGAAUCUAAUUAGUAAGCAGUGGAGAGUACUUUCAGAUUUCUGAGAGGAAUUGAUUUCUAGCCUAAGGUUUCAUGCACAGCCAAA